UACAGAGGGUGCGAGCGUUGUCCGGAAUCACUGGGCGUAAAGGGCACGUAGGCGGCCUGGUAAGCGUGCGGUGAAAGCCCGGGGCUCAACCCCGGGUCGGCCGUGCGAACUGCGAGGCUGGAGCACUGUAGAGGCAGGUGGAAUUCCGGGUGUAGCGGUGGAAUGCGUAGAGAUCGGGAGGAACACCAGUGGCGAAGGCGACUACCUGGACCAGCACUGACACUGAGGCACGAAAGCGUGGGGAGCAAACAGG
RNAcentral lists this ribosomal RNA (253 nucleotides) under uncultured bacterium. RNAcentral describes it as "partial 16S ribosomal RNA". It matches the Rfam family "Bacterial small subunit ribosomal RNA", at positions 524 to 776 of the family's 1533-position model. The record is from RNAcentral.